This 81-nucleotide ribosomal RNA is filed under the name Loma lingcodae. RNAcentral describes it as "partial small subunit ribosomal RNA". Lineage: Eukaryota; Fungi; Microsporidia; Glugeidae. The record is from RNAcentral.
ACGAUCUACCAGAAAGUGAGCGCAGGUCUUUAGAUCUGAUACAAGUCGUAACAAGGUAGCUGUAGGAGAACCUGUAGYUGG